This 1490-nucleotide ribosomal RNA is filed under the name Pseudomonas sp. BE134. RNAcentral's name for it is "partial 23S ribosomal RNA". It matches the Rfam family "Bacterial large subunit ribosomal RNA", at positions 1 to 1546 of the family's 2925-position model. Lineage: Bacteria; Pseudomonadati; Pseudomonadota; Gammaproteobacteria; Pseudomonadales; Pseudomonadaceae. The record is from RNAcentral.
GGUCAAGUGAAGAAGCGCAUACGGUGGAUGCCUUGGCAGUCAGAGGCGAUGAAAGACGUGGUAGCCUGCGAAAAGCUUCGGGGAGUCGGCAAACAGACUUUGAUCCGGAGAUGUCUGAAUGGGGGAACCCAGCCAUCAUAAGAUGGUUAUCUUAAGCUGAAUACAUAGGCUUAAGAGGCGAACCAGGGGAACUGAAACAUCUAAGUACCCUGAGGAAAAGAAAUCAACCGAGAUUCCCUUAGUAGUGGCGAGCGAACGGGGACUAGCCCUUAAGUGGCUUUGAGAUUAGCGGAACGCUCUGGAAAGUGCGGCCAUAGUGGGUGAUAGCCCUGUACGCGAAAAUCUCUUGGUCAUGAAAUCGAGUAGGACGGAGCACGAGAAACUUUGUCUGAAUAUGGGGGGACCAUCCUCCAAGGCUAAAUACUACUGACUGACCGAUAGUGAACUAGUACCGUGAGGGAAAGGCGAAAAGAACCCCGGAGAGGGGAGUGAAAUAGAUCCUGAAACCGUAUGCGUACAAGCAGUGGGAGCCUACUUUGUUAGGUGACUGCGUACCUUUUGUAUAAUGGGUCAGCGACUUAUUUUCAGUGGCGAGCUUAACCGAAUAGGGGAGGCGUAGCGAAAGCGAGUCUUAAUAGGGCGUCUAGUCGCUGGGAAUAGACCCGAAACCGGGCGAUCUAUCCAUGGGCAGGUUGAAGGUUGGGUAACACUAACUGGAGGACCGAACCGACUACCGUUGAAAAGUUAGCGGAUGACCUGUGGAUCGGAGUGAAAGGCUAAUCAAGCUCGGAGAUAGCUGGUUCUCCUCGAAAGCUAUUUAGGUAGCGCCUCAUGUAUCACUGUAGGGGGUAGAGCACUGUUUCGGCUAGGGGGUCAUCCCGACUUACCAAACCGAUGCAAACUCCGAAUACCUACAAGUGCCGAGCAUGGGAGACACACGGCGGGUGCUAACGUCCGUCGUGAAAAGGGAAACAACCCAGACCGUCAGCUAAGGUCCCAAAGUUAUGGUUAAGUGGGAAACGAUGUGGGAAGGCUUAGACAGCUAGGAGGUUGGCUUAGAAGCAGCCACCCUUUAAAGAAAGCGUAAUAGCUCACUAGUCGAGUCGGCCUGCGCGGAAGAUGUAACGGGGCUCAAACCAUACACCGAAGCUACGGGUAUCACUUAGGUGAUGCGGUAGAGGAGCGUUCUGUAAGCCUGUGAAGGUGAGUUGAGAAGCUUGCUGGAGGUAUCAGAAGUGCGAAUGCUGACAUGAGUAACGACAAUGGGUGUGAAAAACACCCACGCCGAAAGACCAAGGUUUCCUGCGCAACGUUAAUCGACGCAGGGUUAGUCGGUCCCUAAGGCGAGGCUGAAAAGCGUAGUCGAUGGAAAACAGGUUAAUAUUCCUGUACUUCUGGUUAUUGCGAUGGAGGGACGGAGAAGGCUAGGCCAGCUUGGCGUUGGUUGUCCAAGUUUAAGGUGGUAGGCUGGACUCUUAGGUAAAUCCGGG